Molecule: ribosomal RNA, 253 nt
Filed under: uncultured bacterium
Lineage: Bacteria
Description: partial 16S ribosomal RNA
Rfam family: Bacterial small subunit ribosomal RNA
Source: RNAcentral
UACGAAGGGGGCUAGCGUUGCUCGGAAUUACUGGGCGUAAAGGGUGCGUAGGCGGGUCUUUAAGUCAGGGGGGAAAUCCUGGAGCUCAACUCCAGAACUGCCUUUGAUACUGAAGAUCUUGAGUUCGGGAGAGGUGAGUGGAACUGCGAGUGUAGAGGUGAAAUUCGUAGAUAUUCGCAAGAACACCAGUGGCGAAGGCGGCUCACUGGCCCGAUACUGACGCUGAUGCACGAAAGCGUGGGGAGCAAACAGG